RNAcentral lists this ribosomal RNA (492 nucleotides) under uncultured bacterium. RNAcentral's name for it is "partial 16S ribosomal RNA". It matches the Rfam family "Bacterial small subunit ribosomal RNA", at positions 29 to 507 of the family's 1533-position model. The record is from RNAcentral.
AGUGAGCGCUGGCGGUAGGCCUAACACAUGCAAGUCGAACGGCAGCACAGUAAGAGCUUGCUCUUACGGGUGGCGAGUGGCGGACGGGUGAGGAAUACAUCGGAAUCUACUUUUUCGUGGGGGAUAACGUAGGGAAACUUACGCUAAUACCGCAUACGACCUACGGGUGAAAGCAGGGGAUCUUCGGACCUUGCGCGAUUGAAUGAGCCGAUGUCGGAUUAGCUAGUUGGCGGGGUAAAGGCCCACCAAGGCGACGAUCCGUAGCUGGUCUGAGAGGAUGAUCAGCCACACUGUAACUGAGACACGGUCCAGACUCCUACGGGAGGCAGCAGUGGGGAAUAUUGGACAAUGGGCGCAAGCCUGAUCCAGCCAUACCGCGUGGGUGAAGAAGGCCUUCGGGUUGUAAAGCCCUUUUGUUGGGAAAGAAAAGCAGCAGGUUAAUACCCCGCUGUUCUGACGGUACCCAAAGAAUAAGCACCGGCUAACUUCGUG